AACGCAUAUUGCACUUUCUGGUAUUCCGGAAAGUAUGCCUGUUUCAGUAUCAGUAAUACUCUCAAACCCAAAGAUAAAAUUUUGGAGUUUGGAUCUGAGCGUAGCCGGGGAAAUAUUACUUUCUGCGGCAUGUUCUAAAUGUAGCCAAAACGGCCUCUCUACCCUUUGAUUCAAAAAUCCCAGGGCGAAAAAGCGGUAAUAGUUGACUCUCGUCAUCUUUCGCUGAAAAGUCCUGGGAGAAGGAGAAUAGGUCGUAAUUUUUUUUGUGUGGGGAAAAAGAAAACCUGCGGUAAUCUCUGUAGGAUUCUUGAUCUGAAAUCAGGUAGGACUACCCGCUGAACUUAA
Molecule: unclassified non-coding RNA, 345 nt
Filed under: uncultured fungus
Lineage: Eukaryota; Fungi
Description: sequence contains ITS2
Source: RNAcentral